RNAcentral lists this ribosomal RNA (321 nucleotides) under Triticum aestivum (bread wheat). RNAcentral describes it as "partial small subunit ribosomal RNA". The record is from RNAcentral. Lineage: Eukaryota; Viridiplantae; Streptophyta; Magnoliopsida; Poales; Poaceae.
AUGGCGAGGUUGCAACGGCGAGGCUACAGCGAGAAGGUUGCAAGCUGCAACAGCGAGGCUGCUACCGGCGACGACGAGGCUACGAUGGUAAGGUUGCAAGCUCCAACGACGAGGCUGCUACCCGACGACGGCGAGGCUACGACGGCAAGGUUGCAACCUGCAAUGGUGAGGCUGCUACCCGACGACGACGGGUGGGUCUGCGUCCACGGAAGCAUUCCAUGGUGCAACCACAGAAUGUGGAUGCUGCAACCGCGUGCAGUGGUGCGUCGAUCGGCGACGACGUGGCUGCAACGGCGCAGGGUAGCUCGGCAAGUUUUUUGA